Molecule: long non-coding RNA, 459 nt
Filed under: Homo sapiens (human)
Lineage: Eukaryota; Metazoa; Chordata; Mammalia; Primates; Hominidae
Description: HSALNT0381628
Source: RNAcentral
CUCAAAACAAAUAUACAGCUUUGGGAUUUUCACCAGCAACAACCCAGACUCACUAUAAGAAUGAGAUAGUUCCUGGGGCCCCAGAGAAAUAAAAAACUUUGAGCAAACAAUAGGAUAAUUGGACUUCCACAACUUCAACAUUCCUCCCCAACAUUCUACUCAGCACCAAGCAUGUGGAAAAUCUCCCCCCAACUCCUGGUUUCUACACCGGAAAAAGUGGGAUUGAGGUGGUCAACCAGCUUCUUCACCAUCUUGGGUGUACUUGCAGGAGGAAAGAACUAUUCCUUCCAGCCCAGAACACUGUCUCUGAACAGCAAGAUGGCUUUGAAACGCUUUCACAACGAAGGUGUGCUCCACUGGGCACCACAACAUACGGUUCAGACGUUUAAAGCCUGUCUCAGCCCAAUUUCCUCUCCAUUUGCUCCCUGGGUAAGCAGACUGUCCCUUUGAUGAAUCAAG